AAUAGAUACCCCGGUAGUCCACGCCGUAAACGAUGAGCGCUAAGUGUUAGAGGGUUUCCGCCCUUUAGUGCUGCAGCUAACGCAUUAAGCACUCCGCCUGGGGAGUACGGUCGCAAGACUGAAACUCAAAGGAAUUGACGGGGGCCCGCACAAGCGGUGGAGCAUGUGGUUUAAUUCGAAGCAACGCGAAGAACCUUACCAGGUCUUGACAUCCCACUGACCGGUAUAGAGAUAUACCUUUCCCUUCGGGGACAGUGGUGACAGGUGGUGCAUGGUUGUCGUCAGCUCGUGUCGUGAGAUGUUGGGUUAAGUCCCGCAACGAGCGCAACCCUUGAUCUUAGUUGCCAGCAUUUAGUUGGGCACUCUAAGGUGACUGCCGGUGACAAACCGGAGGAAGGUGGGGAUGACGUCAAAUCAUCAUGCCCCUUAUGACCUGGGCUACACACGUGCUACAAUGGAUGGUACAAAGGGCUGCAAGACUGCGAAGUCAAGCCAAUCCCAUAAACCAUUCUCAGCUCGGAUUGCAGG
This 528-nucleotide ribosomal RNA is filed under the name uncultured bacterium. RNAcentral's name for it is "bacterial SSU rRNA". It matches the Rfam family "Bacterial small subunit ribosomal RNA", at positions 777 to 1304 of the family's 1533-position model. The record is from RNAcentral.